CCUACGGGGGGCAGCAGUGGGGAAUAUUGCACAAUGGGGGAAACCCUGAUGCAGCGACGCCGCGUGGAGGAAGAAGGUCUUCGGAUUGUAAACUCCUGUUGUUGAGGACGAUAAUGACGGUACUCAACAAGGAAGUGACGGCUAACUACGUGCCAGCAGCCGCGGUAAAACGUAGGUCACAAGCGUUGUCCGGAAUUACUGGGUGUAAAGGGAGCGCAGGCGGGAAUGCAAGUUGGGAGUGAAAUCUACGGGCUCAACCCGUAAACUGCUCUCAAAACUGUAUUUCUUGAGUAGUGCAGAGGUAGGCGGAAUUCCCGGUGUAGCGGUGGAAUGCGUAGAUAUCGGGAGGAACACCAGUGGCGAAGGCGGCCUACUGGGCACCAACUGACGCUGAGGCUCGAAAGUGUGGGUAGCAAACAGGAUUAGAUACCCCAGUAGUC
This 440-nucleotide ribosomal RNA is filed under the name uncultured bacterium. RNAcentral describes it as "bacterial SSU rRNA". It matches the Rfam family "Bacterial small subunit ribosomal RNA", at positions 338 to 795 of the family's 1533-position model. The record is from RNAcentral.